Molecule: ribosomal RNA, 253 nt
Filed under: uncultured bacterium
Lineage: Bacteria
Description: partial 16S ribosomal RNA
Rfam family: Bacterial small subunit ribosomal RNA
Source: RNAcentral
UACGAAGGGGGCUAGCGUUGCUCGGAAUUACUGGGCGUAAAGCGCACGUAGGCGGCUUUCUAAGUCGGGGGUGAAAUCCUGGAGCUCAACUCCAGAACUGCCUUCGAUACUGGAGAGCUCGAGUCCGGGAGAGGUGAGUGGAACUGCGAGUGUAGAGGUGAAAUCCGUAGAUAUUCGCAAGAACACCAGUGGCGAAGGCGGCUCACUGGCCCGGUACUGACGCUCAGGCACGAAAGCGUGGGGGGCAAACAGG